GAGUGUUACGUCUCUUUUAGAAUUUUUCUUCCAGGUUUUCCAGUUUUUACUGGAAAGCCCCC
This 62-nucleotide small nuclear RNA is filed under the name Tupaia belangeri chinensis (Chinese tree shrew). Its description in RNAcentral is "Tupaia chinensis (Chinese tree shrew) U7 small nuclear RNA". It matches the Rfam family "U7 small nuclear RNA". Rfam says of the family: Animal histone pre-mRNAs are spliced by a different mechanism than nuclear pre-mRNAs and self-splicing introns. This processing involves the U7 snRNP, which contains only one RNA species: U7. Lineage: Eukaryota; Metazoa; Chordata; Mammalia; Scandentia; Tupaiidae. The record is from Rfam by way of RNAcentral.